Molecule: ribosomal RNA, 236 nt
Filed under: uncultured bacterium
Lineage: Bacteria
Description: partial 16S ribosomal RNA
Rfam family: Bacterial small subunit ribosomal RNA
Source: RNAcentral
UACGUUAGGGGGGCAAGCGUUUGUCCGGAAUCAUUGGGCGUAAAGAGCGUGUAGGCGGCCUGGUAAGUCCGCUGUGAAAGUCCAGGGCUCAACCCUGGAAUGCCGGUGGAAACUGUCAGGCUCGAGUCCGGAAGAGGCGAGUGGAAUUCCUGGUGUAGCGGUGAAAUGCGCAGAUAUCAGGAGGAACACCAAUGGCGAAGGCAGCUCGCUGGGACGGUACUGACGCGUGAGACGCG